Long non-coding RNA from Phyllopteryx taeniolatus (common seadragon), 716 nucleotides. RefSeq lists it as uncharacterized. The record is from RefSeq and is a predicted model, not a curated record. The transcript has 3 exons. NCBI's taxonomy places the organism in Eukaryota, Metazoa, Chordata, Actinopteri, Syngnathiformes, Syngnathidae.
GAAACAUGGAAUGUCACAGCACACCUCAGGGGCGCGAUGAUCAGUGCAAGUAAUCAGCACCACCUCAGCCGUGGACCUGUCAUCAAUCAGCCCUCAUCUUCACCUGCAUGAAAGCCUGCCAGAUCCCAGAAACUCUCGCCAGAGUAUUAACCUUCUCCUGUGGUACAAUGGCUCUCAGUGCUAUACGUAAACUACACCAGUCCUCGCUAUCCUUCUGACCUCCGUGUUUUUCCUUGUCCUCAGUGCUCCUUCCGUGUUCCCCGCUGAGUGACUUCUUCCAUCACGCCGCCAAGUCAUCCACCUGUUCAUGCCACUGCCUGCCGCACGUUCCCUGCCUCAAUAACCCAUCAGUACGUCUCAAGGAUCAUCUCCAUACUCUCUUUCAAUAAACUGCACCGGGGUGGCCCAAGUUUGCAAACGACACCAGUCAUCGGCCUCAUCAAAGAGGGUGACGGGUCGGCGUAUCAAUAGGAAGUGGAGCGGCUGGAGCUGUGGUGCGGCCAACACAAUCUGGAGCUGAACACGCUCAAGAAAGAUGAUCGUGGACUUCAGGAGGCAUCCAUCCAUCCAUCCAUUUUCUGAGCCGCUUCUCCUCACUAGGGUCGCGGGCAUGCUGGAGCCCAUCCCAGCUAUCAUUGGGCAGGAGGCGGGGUACACCCUGAACUGGUUUCCAGCCAAUUGCAGGGCACAUACAAACAAACAACAAUUCGCACUCA